RNAcentral lists this ribosomal RNA (500 nucleotides) under uncultured Pseudomonadota bacterium. Its description in RNAcentral is "bacterial SSU rRNA". It matches the Rfam family "Bacterial small subunit ribosomal RNA", at positions 355 to 848 of the family's 1533-position model. The record is from RNAcentral. Lineage: Bacteria; Pseudomonadati; Pseudomonadota.
UGGGGAAUUUUGGACAAUGGGCGCAAGCCUGAUCCAGCCAUGCCGCGUGCGGGAAGAAGGCCUUCGGUUGUAAACCGCUUUCGGCCGGAACGAAAUCGCCCGGGUGAAUAGCCCGGGUGGAUGACGGUACCGGAAGAAGAAGCACCGGCUAACUACGUGCCAGCAGCCGCGGUAAUACGUAGGGUGCGAGCGUUAAUCGGAAUUACUGGGCGUAAAGCGUGCGCAGGCGGUCUCGUAAGACAGGUGUGAAAUCCCCGGGCUCAACCUGGGAACUGCGCUUGUGACUGCGAGGCUGGAGUGUGGCAGAGGGAGGUGGAAUUCCACGUGUAGCAGUGAAAUGCGUAGAGAUGUGGAGGAACACCGAUGGCGAAGGCAGCCUCCUGGGCCAGCACUGACGCUCAUGCACGAAAGCGUGGGGAGCAAACAGGAUUAGAUACCCUGGUAGUCCACGCCCUAAACGAUGACGACUAGGUUGUUGGGGUAGAAGUACCUUAGUAACG